RNAcentral lists this ribosomal RNA (587 nucleotides) under uncultured bacterium. RNAcentral describes it as "bacterial SSU rRNA". It matches the Rfam family "Bacterial small subunit ribosomal RNA", at positions 338 to 916 of the family's 1533-position model. RNAcentral also lists the same sequence under 1 other name. The record is from RNAcentral.
CCUACGGGAGGCAGCAGUGGGGAAUUUUGGACAAUGGGGGCAACCCUGAUCCAGCCAUUCCGCGUGAGUGAAGAAGGCCUUCGGGUUGUAAAGCUCUUUCGCAAGGGAAGAAAACUUAUGAUCGAAUAAAUCAUGAGGUUGACGGUACCUUGAUAAGAAGCACCGGCUAACUACGUGCCAGCAGCCGCGGUAAUACGUAGGGUGCGAGCGUUAAUCGGAAUUACUGGGCGUAAAGCGUGCGCAGGCGGUUUUGUAAGUCGGAUGUGAAAUCCCCGGGCUCAACCUGGGAACUGCGUUCGAAACUGCAAGGCUAGAGUGUGUCAGAGGGGGGUAGAAUUCCACGUGUAGCAGUGAAAUGCGUAGAGAUGUGGAGGAAUACCAAUGGCGAAGGCAGCCCCCUGGGAUAACACUGACGCUCAUGCACGAAAGCGUGGGGAGCAAACAGGAUUAGAUACCCUGGUAGUCCACGCCCUAAACGAUGUCAACUAGUUGUUGGUAGAGUAAAAUCUAUGAGUAACGUAGCUAACGCGUGAAGUUGACCGCCUGGGGAGUACGGUCGCAAGAUUAAAACUCAAAUGAAUUGACGG